RNAcentral lists this ribosomal RNA (499 nucleotides) under uncultured Glomeromycotina. Its description in RNAcentral is "partial small subunit ribosomal RNA". It matches the Rfam family "Eukaryotic small subunit ribosomal RNA", at positions 591 to 1092 of the family's 1831-position model. Lineage: Eukaryota; Fungi; Glomeromycota. The record is from RNAcentral.
CCAAUAGCGUAUAUUAAAGUUGUUGCAGUUAAAAAGCUCGUAGUUGAAUUUCGGGAUCAAUUUGUUGGUCGUGCUAUUGUACGUACUGGUAUUAUUGAUUCCUACCUUCUGACGAACCAUGAUGUCAUUAAUUUGGUGUCUUGGGGAAUCAGGACUGUUACUUUGAAAAAAUUAGAGUGUUUAAAGCAGGCUCACGCUUGAAUACAUUAGCAUGGAAUAACGAAAUAGGACGUUUGAUUCUAUUUUGUUGGUUUCUAGGAUCGACGUAAUGAUUAAUAGGGAUUGUUGGGGGCAUUAGGAUUCAAUUGUCAGAGGUGAAAUUCUUGGAUUUAUUGAAGACUAACUACUGCGAAAGCAUUUGCCAAGGAUGUUUUCAUUAAUCAAGAACGAAAGUUAGGGGAUCGAAGACGAUCAGAUACCGUCGUAGUCUUAACCAUAAACUAUGCCGACUAGGGAUCGGAUGAUGUUAAUUUUUUAAUGACUCAUUCGGCGCCUUACG